This 77-nucleotide ribosomal RNA is filed under the name Nannospalax galili (Upper Galilee mountains blind mole rat). The record is from RNAcentral. Lineage: Eukaryota; Metazoa; Chordata; Mammalia; Rodentia; Spalacidae.
ACUUACCACCAUACCAUUUUGUACACACACAUUCCCAACUGAUCUUAGAAGCUGGACAAAGUUGGGCCUGGUUAGCU